CGGGGGGCUGCACCAGUGAGGAAUUUUGCGCAAUGGGGGAAACCCUGACGCAGCAACGCCGCGUGAGCGAAGAAGGCCCUCGGGUCGUAAAGCUCUGUCAAGUGGGAAAAAAGCCUUUUGAUUAAUACCCAAGAGGUUUGAUGGUACCACUGUAGGAAGCACCGGCUAACUCCGUGCCAGCAGCCGCGGUAAUACGGAGGGUGCAAGCGUUGUUCGGAAUGACUGGGCGUAAAGGGCGUGCAGGCGGUUUGGCAAGUCAGAUGUGAAAGCCCUGGGCUUAACCCGGGAAGUGCAUUUGAAACUGCCUUUCUUGAGUAUGGGAGAGGAGAGUGGAAUUCCCAGUGUAGAGGUGAAAUUCGUAGAUAUUGGGAGGAACACCCGUGGCGAAGGCGACUCUCUGGACCAAUACUGACGCUGAGACGCGAAAGCGUGGGGAGCAAACAGGAUUAGAUACCCCCGUAGUC
RNAcentral lists this ribosomal RNA (464 nucleotides) under uncultured bacterium. Its description in RNAcentral is "partial 16S ribosomal RNA". It matches the Rfam family "Bacterial small subunit ribosomal RNA", at positions 339 to 795 of the family's 1533-position model. The record is from RNAcentral.